GCGUUAGGCGGAAUCACUGGGCUUAAAGCGUGUGUAGGCGGAUGCCUAAGUACCUUGUGAAAUCCCACGGCUCACCCGUGGAACUGCUUGGUAUACUGGGUAUCUUGAGCCACCUAGGGGCGAGCGGAACAAGUGGUGGAGCGGUGAAAUGCGUAGAUAUCACUUGGAACGCCAAUGGUGAAAACAGCUCGCUGGGGGUGUGCUGACGCUGAGACACGAAAGCCAG
RNAcentral lists this ribosomal RNA (226 nucleotides) under uncultured bacterium. Its description in RNAcentral is "partial 16S ribosomal RNA". It matches the Rfam family "Bacterial small subunit ribosomal RNA", at positions 538 to 763 of the family's 1533-position model. The record is from RNAcentral.